Molecule: long non-coding RNA, 2138 nt
Organism: Episyrphus balteatus (marmalade hoverfly)
Lineage: Eukaryota; Metazoa; Arthropoda; Insecta; Diptera; Syrphidae
Exons: 2
Source: RefSeq, a predicted model, not a curated record
UAGAAAAAUUUAUUAGGAUAAAAGUUAUAGAAAAUAAAAUUUUCUACAAGUUUUACGCGAUAUAAUUUUUGUCAAAAAUCAAAAACGGCGGAGUUAUUCACUAAAACGUGUUUUACCUUUAAUCCAAGAUGGCGGCUUUGGCUCAAGGUCGAUUUUCCCGAAAAACUGGUUUUAAGCUCUCAGUGAUCCCCUCUACCGUCCUAUUAAAAAAAUUGCACGAUCUAAUUUUUUCCAUUUCAACUUAAUUUUUUGUACAUCCCGACUGGGCUAAGUUUCUCUUUUUCAUAAUGUGAAUUAUGAUUUUUGCACAUUCAGAAAACUGGGACAUGUUGCAUUAUCAUUUUGUUUCAAAAAUUCGUUUUUUUUUCAACAAAAUUACUAUCACUGAAUAAAGAAUAAUUAACAGCUUUUGAAAUAAUUAACACAAAAUAAUUCAUAAUGAACAUGUCGUUCAAAUAAUGAUUAGUUCAUUAUUAUUAUGAACGGAUGGUCACCGUAGCAUGAGUUAUAAAAUUGUUAACCAUGUUUUAAGAUAUACAUAGUGGCUUGUGUUAACCUUUAAAUUACCUACACACAGUCUCUCUACAAAAAAAAAAGAUAAAUUGGUGCUGUUUUUUGCACUCCAAGCAAAACCUGGACCUUAACGGGUCAGACGAACCUCGGGUUCGGAAUCAGCGCAUUGAAAUGCAUAACUGUUGCAGGUGGGCCUAGUUCGCUGUAUAUCGAUAGGUGUGAUGAUGUGUUUUGCGUGAUGAUGUUGCAAGAAAACAUAAACAAUGAUAUUGUGAUUUGAAGUUAAGGUCUGAUAUCAAUUGUCGAACCUCACAAUAUUUAUUUACCUCAGUAUCCACACUUCCACAGUUGUCCUCGAUUGAUUUUUGUCUACUAGAAAUAAAUUUGCUUGUAUUAAAUUGUUCUCAGCUACUGCCAGAGUUCCGUGAAUUCUUUUGUAUUUUUCUAUACUAUGUCCUAUUCAAAGGUUGAGAAAAGGCUUUUCAAGAUUCUUGCCAAAAACAUAAACAUCAUUAUCUACGAAUGACAUUAAGCCAUCCCUAAAAGAUUUCAAUGCCAAGAUUGAAAAGGAACACAUCUUUGAUAGGCUAGUAAACAAAGUCUGCAAAUACGAGACUAAGUCAUUUUGAUUUUACAGGAGAGACUUCUUUUUUAACAUUUGUUUGAGACCUCUGAUUUUCAAGCAUAAUGAUUAACGACUCGGGGAAAACUACGCGUUUUUCAAAACCAAUGAAUCACAAGGAGCAAUUUCAUAGUUGAAAAGCUACAUAACGAAGAGGCUGAUAAAUUAUCUGGAUGGCUGGCGCCAUUUUAUGACUAGUCACCGGUCGCUGCUGUUCGGCCUAGAAAUCGGUAGCUGAUAAAUACUCGCCAGCUGAUGAAUUUUAUGGUUCUGCAUGUUUGAAAUGAGGAAAAUCUUUCGUUGCUUCAACAUGAUAAAAGGGAAUAAAAAUAAACUUACAACUACGUCAGACUUUCUGCGGUUUUGUGAUAUGUAAAUCAUAUUUGGAGUGUGAACUGUGAAAGCCAACAGCAGAUUUUGUUAUCUGCAAAGAAUAUUCUUCUUAUCAAACGAAUGCAAACUAGAAUUUUAUAUCUUUAUUAGCAAAAAGCUUGCAUUUUAAAAUAAACUCAGUCUCAGUCAAGUUCAUAGCGCAGGUUUAAGUAGUCAUUUCAGAUCAUAAACCAUAGUCUAGUUAAGAAUACAUGAAAACAUGAAGAUAUAUCAAAUAAUAAUAUUAUUUGUCGUUUUAUGCCGAUUUGGUGAUGGUGAUGCGAAUAAAUUUAAUAUAAGUUAUGCACAUUUGAACACUUGUAAGGAGUAUACUAUCACAUCUGGAGAUCACAAAUACAAGGAUUACUUUCAAAUCAGCUCCAUGAAUAGUCCUAAGCUAGAAGAUAAUCAACAAAUACAUUUGAAAUUCUUCGUAAUGACUCGAAUGGAUGCACACAUAUUGCUAUCGGAAUUUGAAAAUCAAUCAUAUUCGGAUCCUGUUUACGAAAUUGUUCUUGGUGGUUAUGGAAAUUCUCGCUCCGACAUACGUUUACAAAAUUUUAAUGUAGUAGCUCACGUAAUGACACCGAACCUAUUAUCGACUUUUGAGCCAAUGCCGAUUGAAAUCAUU